GUUUGAGAGAAGGGAUGACACAGUAGGAUAAGCUAAGCACACUGUUGGUUAUGUGUGCCCAAGCAUUGAGGCAGUCAAAGUAGGCAAAUCCGCUUUGAUAAUGCUGGGAUGUGAUGGGGAGCGAAAUGUAGUAGCGAAGUAGCUGAUUUCACACUGUCAAGAAAAGUCUCUAUCGAGGUUAAAGGUACCCGUACCGCAAACCGACACAGGUGGGUGAGGAGAGUAUCCUAAGGCCA
Molecule: ribosomal RNA, 236 nt
Filed under: Clostridioides difficile
Lineage: Bacteria; Bacillati; Bacillota; Clostridia; Peptostreptococcales; Peptostreptococcaceae
Description: partial 23S ribosomal RNA
Rfam family: Bacterial large subunit ribosomal RNA
Source: RNAcentral